UGGGGGAGCAUUUGCAGAUUUUCUGGUCAGUACACACUGAAGCACUCCGCUAAAUGAUCAUGGCUUUCCAGUCGAGCAGCAGUGAUGGGGGCUGAUGAGCCAGCGCUGCUAAUUGGCGAAGUGAUCUGGGCGUGUUGUUUUUGUGAAGCAAAUUGCGCGGAAACGUUCCGAGACGUCUGUGUUUGCCCAUUCCGCUCAAACAACACGGCUUUGAGGGGGAAAAAAAAAAACUGAAAGCCAUCCUUCAUUGAUGCAAGU
Molecule: long non-coding RNA, 258 nt
Organism: Pygocentrus nattereri (red-bellied piranha)
Lineage: Eukaryota; Metazoa; Chordata; Actinopteri; Characiformes; Serrasalmidae
Exons: 2
Source: RefSeq, a predicted model, not a curated record